RNAcentral lists this ribosomal RNA (499 nucleotides) under Penicillium expansum. Its description in RNAcentral is "eukaryotic LSU rRNA". The stretch from base 151 to 303 matches the Rfam family "5.8S ribosomal RNA". Lineage: Eukaryota; Fungi; Ascomycota; Eurotiomycetes; Eurotiales; Aspergillaceae. The record is from RNAcentral.
CCUCCCACCCGUGUUUAUUUACCUCGUUGCUUCGGCGGGCCCGCCUUAACUGGCCGCCGGGGGGCUCACGCCCCCGGGCCCGCGCCCGCCGAAGACACCCCCGAACUCUGCCUGAAGAUUGUCGUCUGAGUGAAAAUAUAAAUUAUUUAAAACUUUCAACAACGGAUCUCUUGGUUCCGGCAUCGAUGAAAAACGCAGCGAAAUGCGAUACGUAAUGUGAAUUGCAAAUUCAGUGAAUCAUCGAGUCUUUGAACGCACAUUGCGCCCCCUGGUAUUCCGGGGGGCAUGCCUGUCCNAGCGUCAUUGCUGCCCUCAAGCCCGGCUUGUGUGUUGGGCCCCGUCCUCCGAUUCCGGGGGACGGGCCCGAAAGGCAGCGGCGGCACCGCGUCCGGUCCUCGAGCGUAUGGGGCUUUGUCACCCGCUCUGUAGGCCCGGCCGGCGCUUGCCNAUCAACCCAAAUUUUUAUCCAGGUUGACCUCGGAUCAGGUAGGGAUACCCG